Small nuclear RNA from Suncus etruscus (white-toothed pygmy shrew), 104 nucleotides. The record is from RefSeq and is a predicted model, not a curated record. Lineage: Eukaryota; Metazoa; Chordata; Mammalia; Eulipotyphla; Soricidae.
GUGCUUGCUUUAGCAUUACACAUACUAAAAUUAGAAUGAUGCAAAAAUUAGUAAAGCCCCUGCUCAAGAAUGACAUGCAAAUUUGUGAAACUCUUUGUAUUUUU